UUUUCUUUAUUGGGGUUGCGGACAUAUCAUAACGAAGAGGUAUCGUAAUUGAAGAGGUUUGGAAAGACCCACCACAGAAGGUAAUAGUCCUGUAUGUUAAACGAGAAGACUUUAGAUAUGAUCCAGAGUACCACGGGACACGUGAAACCCUGUGGGAAGCAGGAGGGACCACCCUCCAAGGCUAAAUACUACCUAGUGACCGAUAGCGUAUAGUACCGUGAGGGAAAGGUGAAAAGAACCCCGGGAGGGGAGUGAAAUAGAACCUGAAACCCUGCACUUACAAGCUGUGGAAGCACAUUUCUUGUGUGACCGCGUACUUUUUGUAGAACGGGCCAACGAGUUACGUUAAGUAGCAAGGUUAAGCACUUAAGGUGCGGAGCCGUAGCGAAAGCGAGUUUUAACUGAGCGUUCAGUUACUUGACGUAGACCCGAAACCGGGCGACCUACCCAUGAGCAGGAUGAAGCGAAAGUAAAAUUUCGUGGAGGUCCGAACCCACGAGCGUUGAAAAGCUCGGGGAUGACUUGUGGGUAGCGGUGAAAUUCCAAUCGAGCCCGGAGAUAGCUGGUUCUCCCCGAAAUAGCUUUAGGGCUAGCCUCAAGGUGAGAGAUACGGAGGUAGAGCACUGAAUGUCCUAGGGGGUAUUGCACCUACCGAAGACUAUCAAACUCCGAAUGCCGUCAUCUUAUACUUGGGAGUCAGACUGUGGGUGAUAAGAUUCAUAGUCGAAAGGGCAACAGCCCAGAUCGUCAGCUAAGGUCCCUAAAUGUAAGUUAAGUGGUAAAGGAUGUGGGAUUGCACAGACAACCAGGAUGUUGGCUUAGAAGCAGCCACUCAUUCAAAGAGUGCGUAAUAGCUCACUGGUCGAGUGAUCCUGCGCCGAAGAUUUCCGGGGCUAAAACUUACUACCGAAGCUACGGCAUCAGUAAUGAUGGGUAGGGGAGCUUCCCAUACGGGUUGAAGCAUGACCGUAAGGACAUGUGGACAGUAUGGGAGUGAGAAUGUUGGCAUGAGUAGCGAGAUGUGGGUGAGAAUCCCACAGGCCGUAAACCCAAGGUUUCCAGGGGAAGGUUCGUCCGCCCUGGGUUAGUCGGGACCUAAGCUGAGGCCGAAAGGCGUAGGUGAUGGACAACAGGUUGAUAUUCCUGUACUACCGAUAACCGUUUGAGAGAAGGGAUGACACAGUAGGAUAAGCUAAGCACACUGUUGGUUAUGUGUGCCCAAGCAUUGAGGCAGUCAAAGUAGGCAAAUCCGCUUUGAUAAUGCUGGGAUGUGAUGGGGAGCGAAAUUUAGUAGCGAAGUAGCUGAUUUCACACUGUCAAGAAAAGUCUCUAUCGAGGUUAAAGGUACCCGUACCGCAAACCGACACAGGUGGGUGAGGAGAGUAUCCUAAGGCCAGCGAGAGAACUGUUGUUAAGGAACUCGGCAAAAUGACCCCGUAACUUAGGGAUAAGGGGUGCCACCAUCAGGUGGCCGCAGAGAAUAGGCCCAAGCGACUGUUUACCAAAAACAUAGGUUUCUGCUAAGUCGCAAGACGAUGUAUAGGAGCUGACGCCUGCCCGGUGCUGGAAGGUUAAGGGGAUCUGUUAGAGCAAUCGAAGCAGUGAACUUAAGCCCCAGUAAACGGCGGCCGUAACUAUAACGGUCCUAAGGUAGCGAAAUUCCUUGUCGGGUAAGUUCCGACCCGCACGAAAGGCGUAACGAUUUGGGCACUGUCUCAACAACAGACUCGGUGAAAUUGUAAUUCCGGUGAAGAUGCCGGAUACCUGCGACAGGACGGAAAGACCCCAUGGAGCUUUACUGUAGCUUGACAUUGGGUCUUGGUACUACAUGUACAGGAUAGGUGGGAGGCUUUGAAACCAGGACGCCAGUUUUGGCGGAGCCAUCCUUGGGAUACCACCCUUGUAGUACUGGGACUCUAACCAUAGGCCAUGAAUCUGGUCUUGGGACACUGUCAGGUGGGCAGUUUGACUGGGGCGGUCGCCUCCCAAAAGGUAACGGAGGCGCUCAAAGGUUCUCUCAGUACGGUCGGAAAUCGUACGUAGAGUGUAAAGGCAAAAGAGAGCUUGAUUGCAAGACAUACAGGUCGAGCAAGGAUGAAAAUCGGACUUAGUGAUCCGGUGGUUCUGCGUGGAAGGGCCAUCGCUCAACGGAUAAAAGCUACCCUGGGGAUAACAGGCUUAUCUCCCCCAAGAGUCCACAUCGACGGGGAGGUUUGGCACCUCGAUGUCGGCUCAUCACAUCCUGGGGCUGUAGUAGGUCCCAAGGGUUGGGCUGUUCGCCCAUUAAAGUGGUACGCGAGCUGGGUUCAGAACGUCGUGAGACAGUUCGGUCCCUAUCCGUCGCAGGCGUAGGAAAUUUGAGAAGACCUGUCCUUAGUACGAGAGGACCGGGAUGGACGUACCUCUGGUGUACCAGUUGUCCUGCCAAGGGCAUGGCUGGGUAGCUAUGUACGGAAUGGAUAAGCGCUGAAAGCAUCUAAGCGCGAAGCCAACUUCAAGAUAAGAUUUCCCACCGCAAGGGUAAGACCCCAGAAAGACUAUCUGGUUGAUAGGUCGAAGGUGUAAGUGCAGCAAUGUAUUUAGCUUAUCGAUACUAAUAGGUCGAGGACUUGACCAA
RNAcentral lists this ribosomal RNA (2617 nucleotides) under Clostridioides difficile. RNAcentral's name for it is "23S ribosomal RNA". It matches the Rfam family "Bacterial large subunit ribosomal RNA". Lineage: Bacteria; Bacillati; Bacillota; Clostridia; Peptostreptococcales; Peptostreptococcaceae. The record is from RNAcentral.